GGUUAAGCGACUAAGCGUACACGGUGGAUGCCCUGGCAGUCAGAGGCGAUGAAGGACGUGCUAAUCUGCGAUAAGCGUCGGUAAGGUGAUAUGAACCGUUAUAACCGGCGAUUUCCGAAUGGGGAAACCCAGUGUGUUUCGACACACUAUCAUUAACUGAAUCCAUAGGUUAAUGAGGCGAACCGGGGGAACUGAAACAUCUAAGUACCCCGAGGAAAAGAAAUCAACCGAGAUUCCCCCAGUAGCGGCGAGCGAACGGGGAGCAGCCCAGAGCCUGAAUCAGUGUGUGUGUUAGUGGAAGCGUCUGGAAAGGCGUGCGAUACAGGGUGACAGCCCCGUACACAAAAAUGCACAUGCUGUGAGCUCGAUGAGUAGGGCGGGACACGUGGUAUCCUGUCUGAAUAUGGGGGGACCAUCCUCCAAGGCUAAAUACUCCUGACUGACCGAUAGUGAACCAGUACCGUGAGGGAAAGGCGAAAAGAACCCCGGCGAGGGGAGUGAAAAAGAACCUGAAACCGUGUACGUACAAGCAGUGGGAGCACGCUUAGGCGUGUGACUGCGUACCUUUUGUAUAAUGGGUCAGCGACUUAUAUUCUGUAGCAAGGUUAACCGAAUAGGGGAGCCGAAGGGAAACCGAGUCUUAACUGGGCGUUAAGUUGCAGGGUAUAGACCCGAAACCCGGUGAUCUAGCCAUGGGCAGGUUGAAGGUUGGGUAACACUAACUGGAGGACCGAACCGACUAAUGUUGAAAAAUUAGCGGAUGACUUGUGGCUGGGGGUGAAAGGCCAAUCAAACCGGGAGAUAGCUGGUUCUCCCCGAAAGCUAUUUAGGUAGCGCCUCGUGAAUUCAUCUCCGGGGGUAG
RNAcentral lists this ribosomal RNA (862 nucleotides) under Escherichia coli. RNAcentral describes it as "partial 23S ribosomal RNA". It matches the Rfam family "Bacterial large subunit ribosomal RNA", at positions 1 to 905 of the family's 2925-position model. Lineage: Bacteria; Pseudomonadati; Pseudomonadota; Gammaproteobacteria; Enterobacterales; Enterobacteriaceae. The record is from RNAcentral.